GAUGAACGCUGGCGGUGUGCCUAAUACAUGCAAGUCGAGCGAACAGACGAUGAGCUUGCUCCUCUGCCGUUAGCGGCGGACGGGCGAGUAACACGUGGAUAACCUACUUAUAAGACUGGGAGAAAUUCGGGAAACAGGAGCUAAUACUGGAUAAUAUAUUGAACCGCAUGGUUCAAUAGUGAAAGACGGCUUUGCUGUCACUUAUAGAUGGAUCCGUGCCGCAUUAGCUAGUUGGUAAGGUAACGGCCUACCAAGGCGACGAUGCGUAGCCGACCUGAGAGGGUGAUCGGCCACACUGGAACUGAGACACGGUCCAGACUCCUACGGGAGGCAGCAGUAGGGAAUCUUCCGCAAUGGGCGAAAGCCUGACGGAGCAACGCCGCGUGAGUGAUGAAGGUCUUCGGAUCGUAAAGCUCUUUUAUUAGGAAAGAACAACUGUAUAAGUAACUAUGCACGUCUUGACGGUACCUAAUCAGAAAGCCACGGCUAACUACGUG
RNAcentral lists this ribosomal RNA (497 nucleotides) under uncultured bacterium. Its description in RNAcentral is "partial 16S ribosomal RNA". It matches the Rfam family "Bacterial small subunit ribosomal RNA", at positions 28 to 507 of the family's 1533-position model. The record is from RNAcentral.